This 64-nucleotide non-coding RNA is filed under the name uncultured Roseovarius sp. Its description in RNAcentral is "SAM riboswitch (alpha-proteobacteria)". The stretch from base 6 to 59 matches the Rfam family "Alpha-proteobacteria SAM riboswitch aptamer", at positions 10 to 64 of the family's 79-position model. From Rfam's summary of the family: This family is a riboswitch found predominantly in alpha-proteobacteria that binds S-adenosyl methionine (SAM). This SAM riboswitch is located upstream of the metA and metC genes in Agrobacterium tumefaciens, and other methionine and SAM biosynthesis genes in other alpha-proteobacteria. Lineage: Bacteria; Pseudomonadati; Pseudomonadota; Alphaproteobacteria; Rhodobacterales; Roseobacteraceae. The record is from RNAcentral.
AAACCCGUGGCGAUUUGUGACCGGAUUGCGGGCCACGUUAAACAUUCCGCUAAAGAGGCGAAGC